This is a non-coding RNA of Engraulis encrasicolus (European anchovy), 72 nucleotides long. Lineage: Eukaryota; Metazoa; Chordata; Actinopteri; Clupeiformes; Engraulidae. The record is from the annotation of a RefSeq genome assembly.
GGGGAUGUAGCUCAGAGGUAGAGCGCAUGCUUUGCAUGUAUGAGAUCCUGGGUUCAAUCCUCAGCAUCUUCA